This 440-nucleotide ribosomal RNA is filed under the name uncultured bacterium. Its description in RNAcentral is "partial 16S ribosomal RNA". It matches the Rfam family "Bacterial small subunit ribosomal RNA", at positions 338 to 795 of the family's 1533-position model. The record is from RNAcentral.
CCUACGGGUGGCAGCAGUAGGGAAUUUUGCGCAAUGGGCGAAAGCCUGACGCAGCAACGCCGCGUGAUCGAGACGCCCUUCGGGGUGUAAAGAUCUGUCAGUGGGGACGAAACUUGACGGUACCCACAGAGGAAGCACCGGCUAACUCCGUGCCAGCAGCCGCGGUAAUACGGGGGGUGCAAGCGUUGUCCGGAAUCAUUGGGCGUAAAGCGUUCGUAGGCGGCACGUAAAGUCUGGUGUUAUAGGGAGGGGCUCAACUUCUGUACGGCACUGGAUACUUGCGAGCUAGAAUGCGGUAGAGGUAAAGGGAAGUCCUGGUGUAGCGGUGAAAUGCGUAGAUAUCAGGAGGAACAUCGGUGGCGUAGGCGCUUUACUGGGCCGUAAUUGACGCUGAGGAACGAAAGCCAGGGUAGCAAAUGGGAUUAGAUACCCGGGUAGUC